AGAGUUUGAUCCUGGCUCAGGAUGAACGCUGGCGGCGUGCCUAAUACAUGCAAGUCGAGCGAACGGACGAGAAGCUUGCUUCUCUGAUGUUAGCGGCGGACGGGUGAGUAACACGUGGAUAACCUACCUAUAAGACUGGGAUAACUUCGGGAAACCGGAGCUAAUACCGGAUAAUAUUUUGAACCGCAUGAUUCAAAAGUGAAAGACGGUCUUGCUGUCACUUAUAGAUGGAUCCGCGCUGCAUUAGCUAGUUGGUAAGGUAACGGCUUACCAAGGCAACGAUGCAUAGCCGACCUGAGAGGGUGAUCGGCCACACUGGAACUGAGACACGGUCCAGACUCCUACGGGAGGCAGCAGUAGGGAAUCUUCCGCAAUGGGCGAAAGCCUGACGGAGCAACGCCGCGUGAGUGAUGAAGGUCUUCGGAUCGUAAAACUCUGUUAUUAGGGAAGAACAUAUGUGUAAGUAACUGUGCACAUCUUGACGGUACCUAAUCAGAAAGCCACGGCUAACUACGUGCCAGCAGCCGCGGUAAUACGUAGGUGGCAAGCGUUAUCCGGAAUUAUUGGGCGUAAAGCGCGCGUAGGCGGUUUUUUAAGUCUGAUGUGAAAGCCCACGGCUCAACCGUGGAGGGUCAUUGGAAACUGGAAAACUUGAGUGCAGAAGAGGAAAGUGGAAUUCCAUGUGUAGCGGUGAAAUGCGCAGAGAUAUGGAGGAACACCAGUGGCGAAGGCGACUUUCUGGUCUGUAACUGACGCUGAUGUGCGAAAGCGUGGGGAUCAAACAGGAUUAGAUACCCUGGUAGUCCACGCCGUAAACGAUGAGUGCUAAGUGUUAGGGGGUUUCCGCCCCUUAGUGCUGCAGCUAACGCAUUAAGCACUCCGCCUGGGGAGUACGACCGCAAGGUUGAAACUCAAAGGAAUUGACGGGGACCCGCACAAGCGGUGGAGCAUGUGGUUUAAUUCGAAGCAACGCGAAGAACCUUACCAAAUCUUGACAUCCUUUGACAACUCUAGAGAUAGAGCCUUCCCCUUCGGGGGACAAAGUGACAGGUGGUGCAUGGUUGUCGUCAGCUCGUGUCGUGAGAUGUUGGGUUAAGUCCCGCAACGAGCGCAACCCUUAAGCUUAGUUGCCAUCAUUAAGUUGGGCACUCUAAGUUGACUGCCGGUGACAAACCGGAGGAAGGUGGGGAUGACGUCAAAUCAUCAUGCCCCUUAUGAUUUGGGCUACACACGUGCUACAAUGGACAAU
RNAcentral lists this ribosomal RNA (1249 nucleotides) under Staphylococcus aureus M0239. RNAcentral's name for it is "bacterial SSU rRNA". It matches the Rfam family "Bacterial small subunit ribosomal RNA", at positions 8 to 1238 of the family's 1533-position model. The record is from RNAcentral. Lineage: Bacteria; Bacillati; Bacillota; Bacilli; Caryophanales; Staphylococcaceae.